UACAGGGGGGCAAGCGUUGUUCGGAAUUACUGGGCGUAAAGGGUCUGUAGGUGGCCAACUAAGUCAGACGUGAAAUCCCUCAGCUUAACUGGGAACUGCGUCUGAUACUGGAUGGCUUGAGUGUGGGAGAGGAAUGCGGAAUUCCAGGUGUAGCGGUGAAAUGCGUAGAUAUCUGGAGGAACACCGGUGGCGAAGGCGGCAUUCUGGACCAUAACUGACACUGAGAGACGAAAGCCAGGG
Molecule: ribosomal RNA, 240 nt
Filed under: uncultured bacterium
Lineage: Bacteria
Description: partial 16S ribosomal RNA
Rfam family: Bacterial small subunit ribosomal RNA
Source: RNAcentral